Molecule: ribosomal RNA, 497 nt
Filed under: uncultured bacterium
Lineage: Bacteria
Description: partial 16S ribosomal RNA
Rfam family: Bacterial small subunit ribosomal RNA
Source: RNAcentral
GAUGAACGCUGGCGGCGUGCCUAAUACAUGCAAGUCGAGCGAACGGACGAGAAGCUUGCUUCUCUGAUGUUAGCGGCGGACGGGUGAGUAACACGUGGAUAACCUACCUAUAAGACUGGGAUAACUUCGGGAAACCGGAGCUAAUACCGGCUAAUAUUUUGAACCGCAUGGUUCAAAAGUGAAAGACGCUCUUGCUGUCACUUAUAGAUGGAGCCGCGCUGCAUUAGCUAGUUGGUAAGGUAACGGCUUACCAAGGCAACGAUGCAUAGCCGACCUGAGAGGAUGAUCAGCCACACUGGAGCUGAGACACGGUCCAGACUCCUACGGGAGGCAGCAGUAGGGAAUCUUCCGCAAUGGGCGAAAGCCUGACGGAGCAACGCCGCGUGAGUGAUGAAGGUCUUCGGAUCGUAAAACUCUGUUAUUAGGGAAGAACAUAUGCGUAAGUAACUGUGCACAUCUUGACGGUACCUAAUCAGAAAGCCACGGCUAACUACGUG